AGAGUUUGAUCCUGGCUCAGGAUGAACGCUGGCGGCGUGCCUAACACAUGCAAGUCGAACGGACUUUUCAUGAAGCCUAGCGAUUGAAAAGUUAGUGGCGGACGGGUGAGUAACGCGUGGGUAACCUGCCUUGUACUGGGGGACAACAGUUGGAAACGACUGCUAAUACCGCAUAAGCGCACAGCUUCGCAUGAAGCAGUGUGAAAAACUCCGGUGGUACAAGAUGGACCCGCGUCUGAUUAGCUGGUUGGUGGGGUAACGGCCUACCAAGGCGACGAUCAGUAGCCGGUCUGAGAGGAUGAACGGCCACAUUGGAACUGAGACACGGUCCAGACUCCUACGGGAGGCAGCAGUGGGGAAUCUUCCGCAAUGGGCGCAAGCCUGACGGAGCAACGCCGCGUGAGUGAAGAAGGGUUUCGACUCGUAAAGCUCUGUUGUCGGGGACGAACGUGGAGACGGCGAAUAGCCGUUUCCAAUGACGGUACCUGACGAGGAAGCCACGGCUAACUACGUGCCAGCAGCCGCGGUAAUACGUAGGUGGCGAGCGUUGUCCGGAAUUAUUGGGCGUAAAGGGAGCGCAGGCGGGAAGGUAAGUCUAUCUUAAAAGUGCGGGGCUCAACCCCGUGAGGGGAUGGAAACUAUCUUUCUUGAGUGCAGGAGAGGAAAGCGGAAUUCCUAGUGUAGCGGUGAAAUGCGUAGAUAUUAGGAGGAACACCAGUGGCGAAGGCGGCUUUCUGGACUGUAACUGACGCUGAGGCUCGAAAGCGUGGGGAGCGAACAGGAUUAGAUACCCUGGUAGUCCACGCCGUAAACGAUGAAUGCUAGGUGUAGGAGGUAUCGACCCCUUCUGUGCCGGAGUUAACGCAAUAAGCAUUCCGCCUGGGGAGUACGGCCGCAAGGCUGAAACUCAAAGGAAUUGACGGGGGCCCGCACAAGCGGUGGAGUAUGUGGUUUAAUUCGACGCAACGCGAAGAACCUUACCAGGGCUUGACAUUGAGUGAAAGGACAAGAGAUUGUCCCCUCUCUUCGGAGACACGAAAACAGGUGGUGCAUGGCUGUCGUCAGCUCGUGUCGUGAGAUGUUGGGUUAAGUCCGCAACGAGCGCAACCCCUAUUCUUUGUUGCCAGCACGUUAUGGUGGGAACUCAAAGGAGACUGCCGCGGACAACGCGGAGGAAGGCGGGGAUGACGUCAAGUCAUCAUGCCCCUUAUGUCCUGGGCUACACACGUACUACAAUGGGAUGGACAGAGAGUAGCGAAGCCGCGAGGCCAAGCGAACCCCAUAAACCAUCUCCCAGUUCGGAUUGCAGGCUGCAACCCGCCUGCAUGAAGUUGGAAUCGCUAGUAAUCGCAGGUCAGCAUACUGCGGCGAAUACGUUCCCGGGCCUUGUACACACCGCCCGUCACACCACGGAAGUCAUUCACACCCGAAGCCGGCAGGCUAACCUUUAUGGAGGCAGCCGUCUAAGGUGGGGGCGAUGACUGGGGUGAAGUCGUAACAAGGUA
This 1505-nucleotide ribosomal RNA is filed under the name metagenome. Its description in RNAcentral is "bacterial SSU rRNA". It matches the Rfam family "Bacterial small subunit ribosomal RNA". The record is from RNAcentral.